CGGAGGGUGCGAGCGUUGUCCGGAAUCACUGGGCGUAAAGGGCGCGUAGGUGGCGACCCAAGUCCGUGGUGAAAGCUCGCCGCUUAACGGCGAGUCGGCCACGGAGACUGGGUGGCUCGAGCACUGUAGGGGCAGAUGGAAUUCCGGGUGUAGCGGUGGAAUGCGUAGAGAUCCGGAAGAACACCAGUGGCGAAGGCGGUCUGCUGGGCAGUUGCUGACACUGAGGCGCGACAGCGUGGGGAGCAAACAGGAUUAGAUACCCUGGUAGUCCACGCCGUAAACGAUGGGCACUAGAUGCUUGGGGGAGCGACCCCCUGAGUGUCGUCGCUAACGCAGUAAGUGCCCCGCCUGGGGGGUACGGCCGCAAGGCUG
This 372-nucleotide ribosomal RNA is filed under the name uncultured organism. RNAcentral describes it as "bacterial SSU rRNA". It matches the Rfam family "Bacterial small subunit ribosomal RNA", at positions 526 to 896 of the family's 1533-position model. The record is from RNAcentral.